This is an RNA transcript of Vicia villosa (hairy vetch), 2270 nucleotides long. It is a transcript of the gene named cyprosin-like, with no coding region annotated. Lineage: Eukaryota; Viridiplantae; Streptophyta; Magnoliopsida; Fabales; Fabaceae. The transcript has 13 exons. The record is from RefSeq and is a predicted model, not a curated record.
UAGGACAGAAAAAUGAAAAGAUAAUAUACUACGCAAUACGAAAAGUAUGUUACUCCCCAGCUUAUUAGAUUGUCAAAAUCCAAAUUUCUCCUUUUUAGUGUACCAUCUCGGUCAAACUGUGGCCAUAAAAGUCAAUAUCAUCCCAUUCCCAAGAUGAAUAUCAAGUAUCUGCUGGUUGUUAUAUGUCUCUGGCUUUGUUCCAUAUCUUUGUCUCUUACAAUUUCUGAUGAUGGGUUGAUGAGAGUUUCUCUAAAAAGGAGAAAUUUGGAUUUUGACACUCUUAAUUCUGCCAUAGUUUUAAAGAGUGUUGAUAAAAACUGUUCCCAAAAAGAUGUUGUUGUGUAUCUUAAGAAUUACUUUGAUGUACAAUAUUUUGGGGAAAUUGGUAUUGGUUCACCUCCACAGUACUUCAAUGUUGUUUUUGACACUGGUAGCUCCAAUCUUUGGGUUCCAUCUUCCAAAUGCAUAUUCUCAAUUGCUUGCUAUUUUCAUUCCAAAUAUAGUUCAAAGAUAUCUACCACUUAUAAGGAAAUUGGAAUACGUUGUAAAAUUCCUUAUGAUCAAGGAUACAUUUAUGGAUUCUUCAGCCAAGACAAUGUAAAAGUUGGGGAUAUUAUUAUCAAAGAUCAAGGAUUUUCUGAGAUUACACGGGAAGGAAAUUUCGCACUUUUAGCUCUUCCGUUUGAUGGUAUACUUGGACUUGGAUUCCAGGAUAUUUCAGUUGGAGGAGUCACACCAGUGUGGUAUAAUAUGAUAGAACAAGGACAAGUACUGGAAAAAGUUUUCUCUUUUUGGCUAAAUAAAGAUCCAUUGGGAGAAAUUGGGGGUGAGAUUGUGUUUGGAGGUAUGGACAAGAGGCAUUUUAAAGGUGAACACACUUACUUUCCAAUUUCUCAAAAGGGUUAUUGGCAGAUUGAAGUGGGAGAUAUUCUACUUGCAAAUGAUACAACAGGUUUUUGUGAUGGUGGAUGUGCUGCAAUAGUGGACUCAGGAACAUCUUUAAUUGCUGGUCCAACUGGUGUUGUGACUCAAAUCAACCAUGCCAUUGGAACAGAAGGAUAUGUUAGUUUUGAGUGUAAAAGCAUUGUCCAUAACUACGGAGAUUUGAUAUGGGAAUCCUUGAUUUCAGGAGUUUGUUCUCUUUCUCUCUAUGUACUUAUAUUCUCAACACUAACCUUUUACUUAUCUCGGUAUGUCACAUGUCUGCAGUUAAAUCCUGAAAUCUUAUGCGCGAACAUUGGACUUUGUUCAUAUAACGGAUUUCAAAGAUCGAACGAUGUUAUUGAAACAGUGGUGCACAAUGAAACUCGGGAUGGAUCGCAAACAACGAAGAGCCCCUUUUGUAGUUUUUGCAAUAUGAUUGUCCUUUGGAUUCAAGUUCAGAUUCAGCAAAGCGACGCAAAGGAAAAAGUAUUAAAGCACGUGGACGAGCUAUGCGAGAGGCUCCCGAAUCCGGUCGGACAAUCAUUUAUAAACUGCAGUAGUGUCUCAGAUAUGCCAAACAUUACAUUCUCAAUUGGAAGCAAAUUGUUUCAUCUGUCUCCACAACAGUAUAUUCUUAAAGUUGAUGAUGAUAAAGAUAGUUCUCCUGUGUGCUAUAGUGGAUUUGUUGCUCUAGAUGUGCUUUCUCCACAGGGUCCCCUCUGGUAAUGCAUACUUAUCAUGAUAUUCACAAUGUCUUUCUUAAUGCUUAAUGUUGCAUGCUAUGAAGCACGGACACCGGAAACACGGCACCAACACUGAUACGUCGACAUCAGUAAUAAUUUGAAAAAUUGAAUAGUUAAACGUAAUCGGUUCUUGGAGACAUUUUCUUAAAGGCAUAUCACACAGUGUUUGAUUAUGGUAAUCUCCGCAUAGGAUUUGCAGAAUCUGUAUAGUCAUUGUUGUUCACAUGAUUCACAGCAGUACAUACGUAUAUAUGAGUUUUGUAAUAUUGUAUAGUAAUGUGUAGACCAUGUUAAUAGGUUUCGGAAAAUGUAUAAGAAAUAUGAUGAGAGCUUAUUCAUAAAAUUGUUGGGCCAGAGAUGUACAUGAUUUGCUACAUGAUAUGUUCAACUAUGGCCUCAAGAGACAUGUAACCAAGGUAGCCAAAGGACGAGUCUUCAAGGGAAUGUGUUAUUUUGUUUUAAUAUUAUUUUUACUUAGUUGUUGUUGUUGUGGUCUCACCUAGAUACCAAAUUCUAUACAAACUUGUGUAUUAUUGUACCGAAUAACAUCAUUGCUUUAGGAUGCAAAAAUGUGAUGGUGUUAAUAGAGUAAGAUUGAUUCUA